AGCACGGGGGCAACCCUGGUGGCGAGUGGCGAACGGGUGAGUAAUACAUCGGAACGUGUCCUGUAGUGGGGGAUAGCCCGGCGAAAGCCGGAUUAAUACCGCAUACGCUCUACGGAGGAAAGGGGGGGAUCUUAGGACCUCCCGCUACAGGGGCGGCCGAUGGCAGAUUAGCUAGUUGGUGGGGUAAAGGCCUACCAAGGCGACGAUCUGUAGCUGGUCUGAGAGGACGACCAGCCACACUGGGACUGAGACACGGCCCAGACUCCUACGGGAGGCAGCAGUGGGGAAUUUUGGACAAUGGGCGAAAGCCUGAUCCAGCAAUGCCGCGUGUGUGAAGAAGGCCUUCGGGUUGUAAAGCACUUUUGUCCGGAAAGAAAACCUCCGCCCUAAUAUGGUGGGGGGAUGACGGUACCGGAAGAAUAAGCACCGGCUAACUACGUGCCAGCAGCCGCGGUAAUACGUAGGGUGCAAGCGUUAAUCGGAAUUACUGGGCGUAAAGCGUGCGCAGGCGGUCCGCUAAGACAGAUGUGAAAUCCCCGGGCUUAACCUGGGAACUGCAUUUGUGACUGGCGGGCUAGAGUAUGGCAGAGGGGGGUAGAAU
RNAcentral lists this ribosomal RNA (601 nucleotides) under Paraburkholderia sp. RNAcentral's name for it is "bacterial SSU rRNA". It matches the Rfam family "Bacterial small subunit ribosomal RNA", at positions 71 to 667 of the family's 1533-position model. The record is from RNAcentral. Lineage: Bacteria; Pseudomonadati; Pseudomonadota; Betaproteobacteria; Burkholderiales; Burkholderiaceae.